AACGAACGCUGGCGGCGCGCCUAAUACAUGCAAGUCGAGCGAGAAGACGUAGCAAUACGUUUGUAAAGCGGCGAACGGGUGAGGAAUACAUGGGUAACCUACCCUCGAGUGGGGAAGUAACUAGCCGAAAGGUUAGCUAAUACCGCGUACGCUCCUUGGACUUCGGUUCAGGGAGGAAAGCGAUACCGUGGGUAUCGCGCUCUUGGAUGGGCUCAUGUCCUAUCAGCUUGUUGGUGAGGUAACGGCUCACCAAGGCUUCGACGGGUAGCUGGUCUGAGAGGACGAUCAGCCACACUGGCACUGCGACACGGGCCAGACUCCUACGGGAGGCAGCAGUAAGGAAUAUUGCGCAAUGGGCGAAAGCCUGACGCAGCGACGCCGCGUGGGGGAGUGAAGGGUAC
RNAcentral lists this ribosomal RNA (401 nucleotides) under uncultured bacterium. Its description in RNAcentral is "bacterial SSU rRNA". It matches the Rfam family "Bacterial small subunit ribosomal RNA", at positions 29 to 419 of the family's 1533-position model. The record is from RNAcentral.